Suncus etruscus (white-toothed pygmy shrew) is the source of this 466-nucleotide long non-coding RNA. RefSeq lists it as uncharacterized. The record is from RefSeq and is a predicted model, not a curated record. The transcript is spliced from 3 exons. NCBI's taxonomy places the organism in Eukaryota, Metazoa, Chordata, Mammalia, Eulipotyphla, Soricidae.
UUUUCCUUCACUGGGCUCGUAUGCACACUGUCCUUUGAAAAGCUAUAGAGAAGAACUUGGCCACCUGCUUCCUGUCUUUCCAAAUUGGCAUUUCCUGUUGUGGCUCUACUGAACAGCUGUCACUCUAGAUCCUUGAAUGCUGUUCACAUUUUACCAGAGGUUUUAAUCUCACGAGAAGACACACCCACAGUUAGCUCUGUCUUCCGAUGCUGACACUUGGUGAACAGCUGCUCUUGAUCACAAGAUUUAGAAGAUACAGUUCCAUCCUCCCAGAUUGGAUCUAUUUUCAUAUGGAUCUUCUAUUUCUAUAUCUUUUUUAAAAAGAACUUUUGGGAAACAUUUUGGAUUACAAUUAUUGAUAUUCAUCUAUGCAAAGAAAGGAAAGCUGUUGUGCUGGGAUUUUGAAGAGCUUUCCCUAAAAGAAUUCCUGUACACUGUAGAAGUCCUUGAGGAAGAGUGAUAAAGG